CCUACGGGGGGCAGCAGCCGCGGUAAUACGUAGGGGGCAAGCGUUAUCCGGAUUUACUGGGUGUAAAGGGAGCGUAGACGGCGAUGCAAGUCUGAAGUGAAAGGCGGGGGCCCAACCCCCGGACUGCUUUGGAAACUGUAUAGCUGGAGUGCAGGAGAGGUAAGUGGAAUUCCUAGUGUAGCGGUGAAAUGCGUAGAUAUUAGGAGGAACACCAGUGGCGAAGGCGGCUUACUGGACUGUAACUGACGUUGAGGCUCGAAAGCGUGGGGAGCAAACAGGAUUAGAUACCCCGGUAGUCCAUUUAA
This 305-nucleotide ribosomal RNA is filed under the name uncultured bacterium. Its description in RNAcentral is "bacterial SSU rRNA". It matches the Rfam family "Bacterial small subunit ribosomal RNA", at positions 500 to 802 of the family's 1533-position model. The record is from RNAcentral.